AAAGUCGUAACAAGGUAACCGUAGGUGAACCUGCGGUUGGAUCAUUAAAAGUACCGGCUUUUGGGCCUUGGAAAGGUGCUAAAAAGACAGCCCACUUAGCAAGCAAUUGGUUUUGUGUGGCUCAAUCUUUUCAUAUGCGUUCCAAGGCCCCGCAAAGAUUCCCUUGCCUCUUUGUAGGUGUGGCUCUUUGCGGUAAGUCCGUGACCUCUAUGUGAACUGUUACCGUCUCUGGCAAGUGGGUAGCCUUUACAUGCUACUUGUCAACGCUUAGCUGCGUCGUGGACAACUUGCCAAACCCCCUUCUCAACCUUUUGCUGUAAUAUUCUUGUCUGACAUUAUACUGUAUCUAAUACAAAAACAACUUUUGGCAACGGAUCUCUUGGCUCUC
Molecule: unclassified non-coding RNA, 388 nt
Filed under: Chytridiomycota sp.
Lineage: Eukaryota; Fungi; Chytridiomycota
Description: partial contains small subunit ribosomal RNA, internal transcribed spacer 1, and 5.8S ribosomal RNA
Rfam family: Eukaryotic small subunit ribosomal RNA (bases 1-47)
Source: RNAcentral